GGGUUGUGAGGUUAAGCGACUAAGCGUACACGGUGGAUGCCCUGGCAGUCAGAGGCGAUGAAGGACGUGCUAAUCUGCGAUAAGCGUCGGUAAGGUGAUAUGAACCGUUAUAACCGGCGAUUUCCGAAUGGGGAAACCCAGUGUGUUUCGACACACUAUCAUUAACUGAAUCCAUAGGUUAAUGAGGCGAACCGGGGGAACUGAAACAUCUAAGUACCCCGAGGAAAAGAAAUCAACCGAGAUUCCCCCAGUAGCGGCGAGCGAACGGGGAGCAGCCCAGAGCCUGAAUCAGUGUGUGUGUUAGUGGAAGCGUCUGGAAAGGCGCGCGAUACAGGGUGACAGCCCCGUACACAAAAAUGCACAUGCUGUGAGCUCGAUGAGUAGGGCGGGACACGUGGUAUCCUGUCUGAAUAUGGGGGGACCAUCCUCCAAGGCUAAAUACUCCUGACUGACCGAUAGUGAACCAGUACCGUGAGGGAAAGGCGAAAAGAACCCCGGCGAGGGGAGUGAAAAAGAACCUGAAACCGUGUACGUACAAGCAGUGGGAGCACGCUUAGGCGUGUGACUGCGUACCUUUUGUAUAAUGGGUCAGCGACUUAUAUUCUGUAGCAAGGUUAACCGAAUAGGGGAGCCGAAGGGAAACCGAGUCUUAACUGGGCGUUAAGUUGCAGGGUAUAGACCCGAAACCCGGUGAUCUAGCCAUGGGCAGGUUGAAGGUUGGGUAACACUAACUGGAGGACCGAACCGACUAAUGUUGAAAAAUUAGCGGAUGACUUGUGGCUGGGGGUGAAAGGCCAAUCAAACCGGGAGAUAGCUGGUUCUCCCCGAAAGCUAUUUAGGUAGCGCCUCGUGAAUUCAUCUCCGGGGGUAGAGCACUGUUUCGGCAAGGGGGUCAUCCCGACUUACCAACCCGAUGCAAACUGCGAAUACCGGAGAAUGUUAUCACGGGAGACACACGGCGGGUGCUAACGUCCGUCGUGAAGAGGGAAACAACCCAGACCGCCAGCUAAGGUCCCAAAGUCAUGGUUAAGUGGGAAACGAUGUGGGAAGGCCCAGACAGCCAGGAUGUUGGCUUAGAAGCAGCCAUCAUUUAAAGAAAGCGUAAUAGCUCACUGGUCGAGUCGGCCUGCGCGGAAGAUGUAACGGGGCUAAACCAUGCACCGAAGCUGCGGCAGCGACGCUUAUGCGUUGUUGGGUAGGGGAGCGUUCUGUAAGCCUGUGAAGGUGUGCUGUGAGGCAUGCUGGAGGUAUCAGAAGUGCGAAUGCUGACAUAAGUAACGAUAAAGCGGGUGAAAAGCCCGCUCGCCGGAAGACCAAGGGUUCCUGUCCAACGUUAAUCGGGGCAGGGUGAGUCGACCCCUAAGGCGAGGCCGAAAGGCGUAGUCGAUGGGAAACAGGUUAAUAUUCCUGUACUUGGUGUUACUGCGAAGGGGGGACGGAGAAGGCUAUGUUGGCCGGGCGACGGUUGUCCCGGUUUAAGCGUGUAGGCUGGUUUUCCAGGCAAAUCCGGAAAAUCAAGGCUGAGGCGUGAUGACGAGGCACUACGGUGCUGAAGCAACAAAUGCCCUGCUUCCAGGAAAAGCCUCUAAGCAUCAGGUAACAUCAAAUCGUACCCCAAACCGACACAGGUGGUCAGGUAGAGAAUACCAAGGCGCUUGAGAGAACUCGGGUGAAGGAACUAGGCAAAAUGGUGCCGUAACUUCGGGAGAAGGCACGCUGAUAUGUAGGUGAAGUCCCUCGCGGAUGGAGCUGAAAUCAGUCGAAGAUACCAGCUGGCUGCAACUGUUUAUUAAAAACACAGCACUGUGCAAACACGAAAGUGGACGUAUACGGUGUGACGCCUGCCCGGUGCCGGAAGGUUAAUUGAUGGGGUUAGCCGCAAGGCGAAGCUCUUGAUCGAAGCCCCGGUAAACGGCGGCCGUAACUAUAACGGUCCUAAGGUAGCGAAAUUCCUUGUCGGGUAAGUUCCGACCUGCACGAAUGGCGUAAUGAUGGCCAGGCUGUCUCCACCCGAGACUCAGUGAAAUUGAACUCGCUGUGAAGAUGCAGUGUACCCGCGGCAAGACGGAAAGACCCCGUGAACCUUUACUAUAGCUUGACACUGAACAUUGAGCCUUGAUGUGUAGGAUAGGUGGGAGGCUUAGAAGUGUGGACGCCAGUCUGCAUGGAGCCGACCUUGAAAUACCACCCUUUAAUGUUUGAUGUUCUAACGUUGACCCGUAAUCCGGGUUGCGGACAGUGUCUGGUGGGUAGUUUGACUGGGGCGGUCUCCUCCUAAAGAGUAACGGAGGAGCACGAAGGUUGGCUAAUCCUGGUCGGACAUCAGGAGGUUAGUGCAAUGGCAUAAGCCAGCUUGACUGCGAGCGUGACGGCGCGAGCAGGUGCGAAAGCAGGUCAUAGUGAUCCGGUGGUUCUGAAUGGAAGGGCCAUCGCUCAACGGAUAAAAGGUACUCCGGGGAUAACAGGCUGAUACCGCCCAAGAGUUCAUAUCGACGGCGGUGUUUGGCACCUCGAUGUCGGCUCAUCACAUCCUGGGGCUGAAGUAGGUCCCAAGGGUAUGGCUGUUCGCCAUUUAAAGUGGUACGCGAGCUGGGUUUAGAACGUCGUGAGACAGUUCGGUCCCUAUCUGCCGUGGGCGCUGGAGAACUGAGGGGGGCUGCUCCUAGUACGAGAGGACCGGAGUGGACGCAUCACUGGUGUUCGGGUUGUCAUGCCAAUGGCACUGCCCGGUAGCUAAAUGCGGAAGAGAUAAGUGCUGAAAGCAUCUAAGCACGAAACUUGCCCCGAGAUGAGUUCUCCCUGACUCCCUGAGAGUCCUGAAGGAACGUUGAAGACGACGACGUUGAUAGGCCGGGUGUGUAAGCGCAGCGAUGCGUUGAGCUAACCGGUACUAAUGAACCGUGAGGCUUAACCUUACAACGCCGAAGGUGUUU
Molecule: ribosomal RNA, 2933 nt
Filed under: Escherichia coli
Lineage: Bacteria; Pseudomonadati; Pseudomonadota; Gammaproteobacteria; Enterobacterales; Enterobacteriaceae
Description: 23S ribosomal RNA
Rfam family: Bacterial large subunit ribosomal RNA
Source: RNAcentral